Molecule: transfer RNA, 87 nt
Filed under: Ignavibacteria bacterium
Lineage: Bacteria; Pseudomonadati; Ignavibacteriota; Ignavibacteria
Description: tRNA-Leu
Rfam family: tRNA
About the family: Transfer RNA (tRNA) molecules are approximately 80 nucleotides in length. Their secondary structure includes four short double-helical elements and three loops (D, anti-codon, and T loops). Further hydrogen bonds mediate the characteristic L-shaped molecular structure. tRNAs have two regions of fundamental functional importance: the anti-codon, which is responsible for specific mRNA codon recognition, and the 3' end, to which the tRNAs corresponding amino acid is attached (by aminoacyl-tRNA synthetases). tRNAs cope with the degeneracy of the genetic code in two manners: having more than one tRNA (with a specific anti-codon) for a particular amino acid; and 'wobble' base-pairing, i.e. permitting non-standard base-pairing at the 3rd anti-codon position.
Source: RNAcentral
GCCCGAGUGGCGGAAUUGGCAGACGCGCUAGCUUCAGGAGCUAGUGGCCGCAAGGCCGUAGGAGUUCAAGUCUCCUCUCGGGCACCA